GACGAACGCUGGCGGCGUGCCUAAUACAUGCAAGUCGAGCGGAUUUGUUCCUUCGGGGACAAGUUAGCGGCGGACGGGUGAGUAACACGUAGGUAACCUGCCUAUAAGACUGGGAUAACUAUCGGAAACGAUAGCUAAGACCGGAUAACUGGUUUUCUCGCAUGAGAGAACUAUGAAACACGGAGCAAUCUGUGACUUAUAGAUGGGCCUGCGGCGCAUUAGCUAGUUGGAGGGUAAUGGCCUACCAAGGCGACGAUGCGUAGCCGACCUGAGAGGGUGACCGGCACACUGGGACUGAGACACGGGCCCAGACUCCUACGGGAGGCAGCAG
RNAcentral lists this ribosomal RNA (331 nucleotides) under uncultured bacterium. RNAcentral's name for it is "bacterial SSU rRNA". It matches the Rfam family "Bacterial small subunit ribosomal RNA", at positions 28 to 354 of the family's 1533-position model. The record is from RNAcentral.